Small nuclear RNA from Sciurus carolinensis (gray squirrel), 104 nucleotides. Lineage: Eukaryota; Metazoa; Chordata; Mammalia; Rodentia; Sciuridae. The record is from RefSeq and is a predicted model, not a curated record.
GUGCUCAUUUUGGGUACAUAUGCUAAAAUUGGAAUGAUACAGAGAAGAUUAGCAUAGUCAUUGCACAAGCAAGACAUGAAAUUUGUGAAGCUUUCCAUAUUUUU